AAUACAUGCAGUCGAGCGGACAGAUGGGAGCUUGCUCCCUGAUGUUAGCGGCGGACGGGUGAGUAACACGUGGGUAACCUGCCUGUAAGACUGGGAUAACUCCGGGAAACCGGGGCUAAUACCGGAUGGUUGUUUGAACCGCAUGGUUCAAACAUAAAAGGUGGCUUCGGCUACCACUUACAGAUGGACCCGCGGCGCAUUAGCUAGUUGGUGAGGUAACGGCUCACCAAGGCAACGAUGCGUAGCCGACCUGAGAGGGUGAUCGGCCACACUGGGACUGAGACACGGCCCAGACUCCUACGGGAGGCAGCAGUAGGGAAUCUUCCGCAAUGGACGAAAGUCUGACGGAGCAACGCCGCGUGAGUGAUGAAGGUUUUCGGAUCGUAAAGCUCUGUUGUUAGGGAAGAACAAGUACCGUUCGAAUAGGGCGGUACCUUGACGGUACCUAACC
RNAcentral lists this ribosomal RNA (451 nucleotides) under Bacillus sp. LT11. Its description in RNAcentral is "bacterial SSU rRNA". It matches the Rfam family "Bacterial small subunit ribosomal RNA", at positions 50 to 484 of the family's 1533-position model. Lineage: Bacteria; Bacillati; Bacillota; Bacilli; Caryophanales; Bacillaceae. The record is from RNAcentral.